UAUAUAUAUAUAUAUAUAUAUAUAUAUAUAUAAGUAAGUGUAAUGCUUCAUCAAAUAAAUAAAAAAUCUGCAUGAUACCAUUGCCUGGUUGUAUUCCCCUUCUGCGAUAUCAAGACCUGAUGUUUUUGCAAGGCUUUAAUUGGUGAAAAAUACUUCAUGUUUUCUGUUGUAGGAAGCAGCUUUUUUCCAGGCAAAGACCUCGUGUACCAUGGCGUCCAGGAGGAUGGAAGUCCCAGGCAUGCAUGAGCUCCACAGAGUGAUGACAAAUGUUUGUUCAUCUGGGAAACUGCCUGAACUGGUAUAAGCCAAUCUCCAGGCACUGCCUUUCCCUGAUGUCCUGCUUCUUCUGUAACGGUCUGCAGAUGGGACAAAUGUGAGUUCCUGAACAUUUUUCACAUUUUAUGAGGCCAGGUGGGAGUAUGGUGCACCAAAUGUACCCAAUUGGGCCUGAACAGUUCAACACUUAGAAUUAAUACUGUUUUCUUUAUGUUUAUGCACAGUGAGUGGUUGGGUGAGGAUGAUUUUGACUGUUCAAAAGUCUGUGUUGACUAGCCUGUAAAACACAAAAUAUAACUGGAUAAAUGGAAUGAUAGACUCACAUAUGCAUGUUUUUUUUUGCUACAGGAAGUGCCUAUUACAAUGCAAAGAGAGACAGCUUAAGUAAGACACCGUGUAGAGCAAGGCUAUUGCACUUUCCCUGGAGCUCACAAGUUUUUAGUGAGAAGAGGAAGAAAAAAAAAGUUAGUUCUACAGUGUUUUGUCUCAAGUUUGCACAAUGCUAAUGCAAAUUCCGACCUACGCUAAGGCAAGGAAGUACAUGACCUUGCCCAAGCAGGGAAGAGAGCAUAGGAUCACAUCUCAAACCCUUGCUGGCCAAACACAAGAGCUCGGCAGUUUGUGUAGGAAAGCUCUUGCAUGCUUUCCAGUCCUUCCUGCUUGCUGUUGGUUUUCCAUUACUCUGCUUCUGGAUGGCCCUGAAAAACCACAAGAACUUCCUUUCUUGUAGCGUUUCAUCACUUUGGCCUCAAAAUGAAACUAACCAAAAUGAAAAACAGCCAGAUCAAAAACAAAUCUAAUAAACAAAUAAACAAACAAAACCA
Molecule: long non-coding RNA, 1100 nt
Filed under: Anas platyrhynchos platyrhynchos (common mallard)
Lineage: Eukaryota; Metazoa; Chordata; Aves; Anseriformes; Anatidae
Description: lncRNA (ENSAPLG00000026307.1)
Source: RNAcentral